RNAcentral lists this ribosomal RNA (870 nucleotides) under uncultured bacterium. Its description in RNAcentral is "bacterial SSU rRNA". It matches the Rfam family "Bacterial small subunit ribosomal RNA", at positions 29 to 914 of the family's 1533-position model. The record is from RNAcentral.
AUCGUCGCUGGUGCCCAGGCUUAAACCACUUGCAAGUCGAGUCGCUGUGUAGCCAUACCAGCGAGUGGCGCACGGGUGAGAACCGCGUGGAUAUCUGCCUUUUGGUCGGGAAUAACCCCGGGAAACUGAGGGCUAAUACCGGAUGGUUUCCUUCCGGGGUAAAGAUUUAUCGCCAAAAAGAUGAGUUCCGCGUACGAUUAGCUAGUUGGUGAGGUAAUGGCUCACCCAAGGCGACGGAUCGUUAGCUGGUCUGAGGAGGAUGAUCAGCCACAUUGGGACUGAGACACGGGUCCAAACUCCUACGGGAGGCAGGCAGUGGGGAAUAUUGGCAAUGGGCGAAAGCCUGAUCCAGCCAUGCCGCGUGAGUGAUGAAGGCCCUAGGGUUGUAAAGCUCUUUUGUGCGGGAAGAUAAUGACGGUACCGCAAGAAUAAGCCCCGGCUAACUUCGUGCCAGCAGCCGCGGUAAGACAGAGGUGGCGAGCGUUGUUCGGAAUUACUGGGCUUAAAGGGCGCGUAGGCGGUGGUGUAAGUCUGGGGUGGAACGCUACAGCUUAACUGUAGAGCUGCCCCUGGAAACUGCAUUACUUGAGUCGGUGAGGGGAAGGUGGAAUUGCCAGGUGUUAGCGGUGAAAUGCGUAGAUAUCUGGAGGAAGGUCUUGUGGCGAAGGCCGACCUUCUGGCACUUCGACUGACGGCUUGAGGCGCGAAAGCGUGGGGAGUCAAACAGGAUUAGAUACCCUGGUAGUCCACGCCCUUAAACGGUGGGUAUUAGUGUGGGGGUCCUUCAUGGGUUCCGUGCCCGAAGCGAAAGCAUUAAAUACCCCGCCACGGGGAGUACGGUCCGCAAGGUUGACAUUUAAUUGCAUUUCA